GCGGAUCUCUGAGAGAUGGUCGAGCGCCGUUCCGAAGGGACGGGCGAUGGCCUCCGUUGCCCUCGGCCGAUCGAAAGGGAGUCGGGUUCAGAUCCCCGAAUCCGGAGUGGCGGAGAUGGGCGCCGCGAGGCGUCCAGUGCGGUAACGCGACCGA
Microtus oregoni (creeping vole) is the source of this 154-nucleotide long non-coding RNA. RefSeq lists it as uncharacterized. The transcript has 3 exons. NCBI's taxonomy places the organism in Eukaryota, Metazoa, Chordata, Mammalia, Rodentia, Cricetidae. The record is from RefSeq and is a predicted model, not a curated record.